Molecule: ribosomal RNA, 253 nt
Filed under: uncultured bacterium
Lineage: Bacteria
Description: partial 16S ribosomal RNA
Rfam family: Bacterial small subunit ribosomal RNA
Source: RNAcentral
UACAGGGGGGGCAAGCGUUGUUCGGAAUUACUGGGCGUAAAGGGCCAGUAGGCGGCCAACUAAGUCACACGUGAAAUCCCCAGGCUUAACCUGGGAACUGCGUGUGAUACUGGAUGGCUUGAAUUCGGGAGAGGGAUGCAGAAUUCCAGGUGUAGCGGUGAAAUGCGUAGAUAUCUGGAGGAACACCGGUGGCGAAGGCGGCAUCCUGGACCGGCAUUGACGCUGAACAGCGAAAGCCAGGGGAGCAAACGGG